CCUAAUACAUGCAGUCGAGCGGACAGAUGGGAGCUUGCUCCCUGAUGUUAGCGGCGGACGGGUGAGUAACACGUGGGUAACCUGCCUGUAAGACUGGGAUAACUCCGGGAAACCGGGGCUAAUACCGGAUGGUUGUCUGAACCGCAUGGUUCAGACAUAAAAGGUGGCUUCGGCUACCACUUACAGAUGGACCCGCGGCGCAUUAGCUAGUUGGUGAGGUAACGGCUCACCAAGGCGACGAUGCGUAGCCGACCUGAGAGGGUGAUCGGCCACACUGGGACUGAGACACGGCCCAGACUCCUACGGGAGGCAGCAGUAGGGAAUCUUCCGCAAUGGACGAAAGUCUGACGGAGCAACGCCGCGUGAGUGAUGAAGGUUUUCGGAUCGUAAAGCUCUGUUGUUAGGGAAGAACAAGUGCCGUUCAAAUAGGGCGGCACCUUGACGGUACCUAACCAGAAAGCCACGGCUAACUACGUGCCAGCAGCCGCGGUAAUACGUAGGUGGCAAGCGUUGUCCGGAAUUAUUGGGCGUAAAGGGCUCGCAGGCGGUUUCUUAAGUCUGAUGUGAAAGCCCCCGGCUCAACCGGGGAGGGUCAUUGGAAACUGGGGAACUUGAGUGCAGAAGAGGAGAGUGGAAUUCCACGUGUAGCGGUGAAAUGCGUAGAGAUGUGGAGGAACACCAGUGGCGAAGGCGACUCUCUGGUCUGUAACUGACGCUGAGGAGCGAAAGCGUGGGGAGCGAACAGGAUUAGAUACCCUGGUAGUCCACGCCGUAAACGAUGAGUGCUAAGUGUUAGGGGGUUUCCGCCCCUUAGUGCUGCAGCUAACGCAUUAAGCACUCCGCC
Molecule: ribosomal RNA, 844 nt
Filed under: Bacillus subtilis
Lineage: Bacteria; Bacillati; Bacillota; Bacilli; Caryophanales; Bacillaceae
Description: bacterial SSU rRNA
Rfam family: Bacterial small subunit ribosomal RNA
Source: RNAcentral